This 558-nucleotide ribosomal RNA is filed under the name Euphausiidae sp. EU9. RNAcentral's name for it is "bacterial SSU rRNA". It matches the Rfam family "Eukaryotic small subunit ribosomal RNA", at positions 34 to 566 of the family's 1831-position model. The record is from RNAcentral. Lineage: Eukaryota; Metazoa; Arthropoda; Malacostraca; Euphausiacea; Euphausiidae.
GUCUCAAAGAUUAAGCCAUGCAUGUCUAAGUACUAACCCAAGCAAGGUGAAACCGCGAAUGGCUCAUUAAAUCAGUUAUGGUUCAUUGGAUCUUCCCUACUCAUUACUUGGAUAACCGUGGUAAUUCUAGAGCUAAUACAUGCCAACCAGUAGCUCCGACGCACUGAGGUGCGGAAGAGCGCUUUUAUUAGAUCAAAACCGAUCCUCCCUCGGGAGGUCAAACCCCUUUGGUGGUGACUCUGAAUAACUUACAGCUGAGCGCACGGCCUCCGUGCCGGCGCCGCAUCCUUCAAGUGUCUGCCUUAUCAGCUCUCGAUUGUAGGCUAUACGCCUACAAUGGCUAUAACGGGUAACGGGGAAUCAGGGUUCGAUUCCGGAGAGGGAGCCUGAGAAACGGCUACCACAUCUAAGGAAGGCAGCAGGCACGCAAAUUACCCACUCCCGGCUCGGGGAGGUAGUGACGAAAAAUAACGAUGCGGGACUCUGUAGAGGCCUCGCAAUCGGAAUGAGUACAGUUUAAAUCCUUUAACGAGGAUCUAUUGGAGGGCAAGUCUGGUG